Molecule: ribosomal RNA, 558 nt
Filed under: Besnoitia sp.
Lineage: Eukaryota; Apicomplexa; Conoidasida; Eucoccidiorida; Sarcocystidae
Description: SSU rRNA
Rfam family: Eukaryotic small subunit ribosomal RNA
Source: RNAcentral
AUUUCAUUUCUAGCGAUUGGAAUGAUGGGAAUCCAAACCCCUUUCAGAGUAACAAUUGGAGGGCAAGUCUGGUGCCAGCAGCCGCGGUAAUUCCAGCUCCAAUAGCGUAUAUUAAAGUUGUUGCAGUUAAAAAGCUCGUAGUUGGAUUUCUGCUGGAAGCAGCCAGUCCGCCCUUAGGGGUGCGCACUUGGUGAAUUCUAGCAUCCUUCUGGUAGCGCUUCACACUUCAUUGUGUGGAGUGUUUUUCCAGGACUUUUACUUUGAGAAAAUUAGAGUGUUUCAAGCAGGCUUGUCGCCUUGAAUACUGCAGCAUGGAAUAAUAAGAUAGGAUUUCGGCCCUAUUUUGUUGGUUUCUAGGACUGAAGUAAUGAUUAAUAGGGACGGUUGGGGGCAUUCGUAUUUAACUGUCAGAGGUGAAAUUCUUAGAUUUGUUAAAGACGAACUACUGCGAAAGCAUUUGCCAAAGAUGUUUUCAUUAAUCAAGAACGAAAGUUAGGGGCUCGAAGACGAUCAGAUACCGUCGUAGUCUUAACCAUAAACUAUGCCGACUAGAGAUAG